RNAcentral lists this microRNA precursor (81 nucleotides) under Podarcis lilfordi (Lilford's wall lizard). The record is from RNAcentral. Lineage: Eukaryota; Metazoa; Chordata; Lepidosauria; Squamata; Lacertidae.
UCACAUAUAUGUACACACACACACACACACACACACACACAGUGUGUGUGUGUGUGUGUGUGUGUGUGUGUGUGUGUGUGU